This is a long non-coding RNA of Salvia splendens (bonfire salvia), 439 nucleotides long. RefSeq lists it as uncharacterized. The record is from RefSeq and is a predicted model, not a curated record. The transcript is spliced from 2 exons. Lineage: Eukaryota; Viridiplantae; Streptophyta; Magnoliopsida; Lamiales; Lamiaceae.
UAAAUACAAUUGCAUUCCAUUUGCAUACAUAUACUAUAAAUGAAGUCGACUUUUUAUAGUGCGAUUUUCGCGGUUUUGCUGGUGGGUGCGAUGUUUUUUACGGACGGAAGCUUAGCACAACCUUGCUCGUCCGCCUUGUCAGCUCUGAACGUGUGCACGCCGUACGUGGUCCCCGGGGCCGUGGCGAACCCGAGCCCCGAUUGUUGUGGCGCCCUGCAGUCCAUUAACCGCGAUUGCUUGUGUAGCACACUCCGCAUCGCCUCUCGCAUCCCGGCCCAGUGCAACCUUCCUCCCCUCACUUGCCCAAACUGAAGUUGGAAUUUUGAUCAUCGACAAUAAUGGAACGCUUUUUCCACUUUUUUCUAGUAACGCACCAUGUAAUAUUAGUUCAUGCAAAAGUAAAAGUAUCUCCAACUAAGCAAUAAACAUGGUUUCAAUA